AUCAACUUUCGAUGGUAGGAUAGAGGCCUACCAUGGUGGUAACGGGUAACGGGGUGUUAGGGCACGACACCGGAGAGGGAGCCUGAGAAACGGCUACCACAUCCAAGGAUGGCAGCAGGCGCGCAAAUUACCCAAUCCCGACACGGGGAGGUAGUGACAAUAAAUAACAAUACGGGGUUCUUUCGGAUCUCGUAAUUGGAAUGAGUACAAUUUAAAUCUCUUAACGAGGAACAAUUGGAGGGCAAGUCUGGUGCCAGCAGCCGCGGUAAUUCCAGCUCCAAUAGCGUAUAUUAAAGUUGUUGCAGUUAAAAAGCUCGUAGUUGAAUUUCGGGAUCAAUAUGUCUGUCGUGCCUUCGGUACGUACGGGUAUAAUUGGUUUCUACCUUCUGAUGAACCUUGAUGCCAUUAAUUUGGUGUCUUGGGGGCUCAGGACUGUUACCUUGAAAAAAUUAGAGUGUUUAAAGCAGGCAUACGCUUGAAUACAUUAGCAUGGAAUAAUGAAAUAGGACGUUCGAUUCUAUUUUGUUGGUUUCUAGGAUCGACGUAAUGAUUAAUAGGGAUAGUUGGGGGCAUUAGUAUUCAAUUGUCAGAGGUGAAAUUCUUGGAUUUAUUGAAGACUAACUACUGCGAAAGCAUUUGCCAAGGAUGUUUUCAUUAAUCAAGAACGAAAGUUAGGGGAUCGAAGACGAUCAGAUACCGUCGUAGUCUUAACCAUAAACUAUGCCGACUAGGGAUCGGAUGAUGUUAAUUUUUUAAUGACUCAUUCGGCGCCUUACGGGAAACCAAAGUGUUUGGGUUC
This 799-nucleotide ribosomal RNA is filed under the name uncultured Glomus. RNAcentral's name for it is "SSU rRNA". It matches the Rfam family "Eukaryotic small subunit ribosomal RNA", at positions 314 to 1114 of the family's 1831-position model. The record is from RNAcentral. Lineage: Eukaryota; Fungi; Glomeromycota; Glomeromycetes; Glomerales; Glomeraceae.